Long non-coding RNA from Amphiprion ocellaris (clown anemonefish), 431 nucleotides. The record is from Ensembl. NCBI's taxonomy places the organism in Eukaryota, Metazoa, Chordata, Actinopteri, Pomacentridae.
AUCAUGGGCUGAUACUGGCCGACUCCCACCUCCUGUCCUGUGCUUUGGGACAUCGUUGGCAACCAGAGGAGACAAAACGCUCAAACUGCAUUGAUGGUGGCCACAUACGUCUGGACGUCCGAGCAGCUGUAUUUUCACUAGAAAUUACUAAGUGCAACAAACAUCUGUGAAAUUUCACAACUCAGAUACAUCAUCAGGAUCCACUGCCAACAUCCUGGUGUCAGACGCUACAGGGAACCCCAAGAAGUCACCUGUCGAUGCCCCAACAGACACCGAGCUGUGAACGCCACGAGGUGGAUUCUGCUAACGGCUAACUGUGAGUUUGCUGACCGGAGAUCAACGCCGCUGCGGGGAUUUCGUGGGCUGCUUCCUGUGAUCAUCGUAGGUUUUCUACUCUGCACCUGGACUACGGCGAACAGCUGGAGAUCGAC